Long non-coding RNA from Perca flavescens (yellow perch), 346 nucleotides. RefSeq lists it as uncharacterized. The transcript is spliced from 4 exons. NCBI's taxonomy places the organism in Eukaryota, Metazoa, Chordata, Actinopteri, Perciformes, Percidae. The record is from RefSeq and is a predicted model, not a curated record.
AAACUAUUAAACCACAAGCUCCGUGUAGCCCAAUCCUACAGACCCCAACACGCCAGAACAUUAAACCAAAGGCCACUCUAAUAAGGAAUAAGAACACAGCAAACAGACAAUCAGCCCCUGAACAAAGGAUCCGCAAGGGCGAGGGCUACUCGCUCUCCCAUGUGGCUGAAAUCAAUCCUGUUGAAAGACCAUGUGCUUCUAUGCCCCUCUCUGUGAAAGCUGCUACGCCUAACGUUCGCCAUCGUAAGCCUAAGAAGCAAUUUAUUGAGCCUGUGAAGCCAUACACGACCGGUCUCCCGCCCAAAAGUAGCACCCCUUCCUUUGUUCCGGUCUCGUCUUACCCGGC